Long non-coding RNA from Meleagris gallopavo (turkey), 11750 nucleotides. RefSeq lists it as uncharacterized. The record is from RefSeq and is a predicted model, not a curated record. NCBI's taxonomy places the organism in Eukaryota, Metazoa, Chordata, Aves, Galliformes, Phasianidae.
UCUUAAAUAUAGUAAAUAGUAUAGUUCAUCUCAUGAUUGAAAAAGGUGUGAAAACAGUGAUGCUUAAUAAUAGAGAAAGCGUAUUAUUCUUAAAAGGUUUGAAUCACUGAAGGAAAUUCCUGCUGUUUUUUUUGAACUGCUGUUUAAAAAUUUGCAGUUCAGUAUGUUUAUGAAUAUAUAAGUAUGUAUUUAGCUGAUUAAGAGAAGUGGUUACUGCCCUUUGUUUGACAUUGUUGAGAUUUCUCCUGGAACACUGUACAUUCUUGGGUCCAUAACACAAGAACAUUGACAAACUGGAGUGAGCGCAGAGCAGAGCUAAGACCUCACUUGUUUUAGCCCUUUUUCUGUGCAAGAAGAGACACAGGGAACUAAACUUGUUCAAUUUGAGGAGAUAAGGGGAGGUCCAAUUAUUGCUUUCAAUUUUUCCUUCUGCUAGCCAGAUUCCAGAAGUUUCCCUGUGAGUAGCUGGGCUCAGUGGCCUCCAGAGUUCUCAUACAACUUGUUCCUUUGAUUCAUUGAAAGAUGUAGUUUACAGUAAUCAAAGCAGAAACAUAAUUUUUAAUUGAUGGAAGAUAAUAUUGUGUACGUAGCCUUUCCAAUGACUGUGGUUUACCUGUAGUUUUCCCUUCUAUUUAACAUAAUAAUUUUGAUUGGUUUUAAAUACAUAACCACAUCUGGUAACAAUUUGAGUGUAGAGAGCCUGUGAGAUUCUUGAACUAUUAAAUAAUGAUUUAAAUUGAGCUUUUAAGAUAGAACUGUUACUCUGACUGUCUUGAUAUAAUGUUGUAGGGGAAUAGUGAUGUGUUGUUGUUAGGGUCAGAUUCAAUGUCCAACCAUCCAAAGCUUGUUGUGUCUGUGUAAAAAACAUAAAUGAGGCGUACUGAAUUUCCACAGAUGCGCAGUCUAGAGAGAAGGUUUUUUGACCAUAGGAGAGGUCAGAAAACACGGAACAGUUAUGUUCUCCUGUAACAUUAUCAGAGUAACAUUACUGAAUUCUUCUAACUGCUCUUCAUGGUCUUGCAAUACUUAAUCAGAUAGCUAAUCUGUGGUUAGUUCUACCAACUUCCUAGCACUAUUGCAGCAGCACUAGUCAAUGUGAGAAGUUAUAUGAUCAGAACAGUAAGAAAAAAAUACGCAGUUCUGCAGAGAAAUGAGAUCUAGGAUUACACUCCGGCUUGGGUCUGCUGUGUGUCCAGUCCUUCUGAACAUCUUCUCAGUGAUUGAAGUGAUUGAUGAAUGUAUAUUAAUUGAUACUAAGGUGAUACAAACAACUUAGGAUGUUUAUAGAAUACUGUGAUGUAAUUGCAUGCCACGUAUUAUGUGGGAAAAGAGCUUGAAUGUUUGACAAAAUGUUUUUUGCCCAUCUGUUUAAGGAUGGCAAAUUUAUUCUAUUUCUCUUAUUAUUUCUUAAAGCUAGUCAAAGAUAAUUUGUAUACCAUUUAAGCUAAUGUCAUCAAAGCAGUGUUUCACUAAAUAAUUCAUAUUUGGUAUCAAGAGCCAUACUGUUGAUUGUUACGGUAAGAGGAGCUACAGUUUAAGCAAAGAAAAUAACGUAAGUAGGAUGACUUCAGAGGCAGACUGUCUUUGGAAACCUGAUGAUGAUUUUCUGCAUGUGUAACAAGCUUUUAAUAGUCUGUACUCUUGCAUUUUCUGUGUUAUCAAUUACAUUGAAACUGGUAUGGUACUUCACAGUCUGCCCUUGUGGCUUGACAGUCAAGAGUGAAAAUUGUAUUCUGCAUUGCAUUAAACAUGGCAUAACAAGCUGGUCAAAAGUGGUUCUCCCACUGUAUUUAGCAUUGAUGCGGCUUCUUCUGGAAUAUUGCAUACAGUUCUGUGCUUCACAACUCAAAAAGGAUGUUAGGAUACUUGAAAGCAUCAAAGCUGAUACUGAUGGCAGCAAACCUGGUUAAAGAGCUGGAAGAUGUCCUGUGAGGAGCGGCUGAAGACACUGGGACACACUGGAAUGGCUGAAAGCAGUAAGGUUCAGACUCGGCAUCAGGGGAAACUUUACCAGGAGGUUAGUUAGACACUGGAAUAUGCUUUCUAGAGAGGUGAUUGAUGCUCUCUGCCUGUCUAUGUUUGAGGCAUUUGGAUAAUGUGUUCUUAAUGACACGUUUUAAAUUUGGGUCAGCCCCAAGAUAGUUUGACAGUUGAUCUUGAUCCUCGUAGGGUCUCUUCCAACUGAAACUGUUCUAUUCUGAUACUUUUGAAACCAGUAUAGUUCAGCUUCAUCUGCUGUAAUGGAUACCUUUGUGGAAAUAGUUUUUAAAUACAUUAUGUUCUUCUCUUUAGACUUUUUAUUCAUAUACCAAAGAAAAAAAAAUAGUAUGGUAGCAUUGUCUUUCACAUGAAAUAUUAAACAUACAGGUUCUGGUCAUUUGUGAUUUAAAAAAAAAAUCUAUACCAAAUGUUUCUUAACCUCCUGACAAAUACUUUUUGCAUAAUAUAUCUACUAUUUUAAACUUAACAUGAGCAUGAACAUGGAUCAAAUAGGAAUCAUGUGUUUUAUUUACUUGUUCUUUAGAAACUUGAGUAGUAAUAUUUACUGGGUAAACAUUAGGUACCUUCUGAUUAUUUGGUGCCGUGCUAGGUAACCACAGUUUCAACUGAAUACUUCCUUACUAGUAUUCAGUAAAAAUGUCACAUUGGAAAGAUGGAUAGAUUUAUCCAGGACUGCCAAGUGAAUGUACUAAGUAGAAAUCAGUGCUUUUGAUGAAAAGUAAUGGGAAAGUUUUAAUACUACUUGAUCACUGUUUCUACUCUCAAAAAUAAAAGCUUACAAUGUUUGAAAUAGUGAAGAAAACAGUGCACAAGGUGCCUCCUUUUUUUCCCUAAAACAAAGUAUCGCUUUCAUUAUUCGGGAAAAAGAGAAUUUUUGUAUCAUGUUGCAUGCACUCUUAUUUUAUAAACAAAUUUGACUGAAAAAUAAUAGUAUGAAGGGUAACGUGUUGUUUGGAAAUUCAAGAACAUAUGGAAAAGGGAAAAAGUGGUGAAAAAGAUUCAUCAUGAAAAUGAAAAGAAGGCAAAGCAGAACUGUUUUUUUAAGAAGGGCAGAGCACUCCACAAGCUUUAUGAAAGUGAACAUGAGACUUUUGUGUACCAUUUCAUUCAGUACUGCUACAUUCGAGUAAGCAUUUUAAGGAAAGCUGGUGCUUGUAACCAGAAUUUUGAUUCUCCUUCAGGUGUGCAGUCUUAGUGUUUUUUUAAACAUUUUAAAUAUCCAUUUUGCAUUACAGAAAUCUUAUAUUUGCUUUCUUGAUGGUUUGUUUUACCACAGGAAAUAAAGCAAUAGAAUCUUGAAAUAAGAGGCUUUUUUUAAUAUCUAGAGACACUAAAAAAGGGAUUAAGUUGUGAACUCAGAAUAUUUAAAGUACUCUGCAGAAUUUUUAGUCUGCAAAAUGUCUCUAAUGACUAGGGGAAGAAAAGGGUUAAACCAUUUAAGUGCUUCAUUGUCUUUCCAUAUAGGAUUGCUAGACUGUUAUUAAAAUAAUUCUGUUUCUGAUACAUGUGCAGAUUUAAACAACUUGACAAGUGCUGGUCUGUUUUAUUUCACUACCUUGUCAGCAGUGGUGGAUUUCUCAGAGCACUGUAGUUCUAACUCUUUCUCAAAGUGAUUAGUCCAGAUACACAUGAAGAAUGGGCAGAUUUAUGCAUUUCACAGCUGUUGCAAGCCAAACUGUGGUCUGGUUUGAUAAGCAGAAACAGGUGUGAUGUUGAGUAGACAAAAAUAAACCUUUGAGCAUGUUAGCCAGGGUCUAUAAACCACACUGACACCUUUCUAAAUGUAUGUAAUUUGAUAACUGAAAAAUAGUUGAAAGUUCUUGCAGAUGUGCCUUAAAGGUGUAUUUAGCCUCUGCAUUGCUAUCAAAAUACAGCAAAUGGUCAAAGGAGUACUUUCAUCAUAGCAGAUUCAUAGUUCUGAGUUUUUGUAGUUUAUUCCAAAGUGGAGUUUAGUAAACUGCAGGGUUCUCUUUUCCCUGGGAAGGUACGUGUGUGACUUUCAUUAACAUUUAUGGGCACAUAAUAAUGGGCAUAGUGAAGGGUGAAUAGAGUCCAAAUAUUUAUGGCUUCAUAUUUUAAAAAUAUAUAUAUUGUAGGUUGAAAUGUGGUAUAAUAAGCACAAGAGGGAGCCAUAUAGUUUACAGACAUUCAUAGUAAGAUUAUAUUUGUAAAGAAAAUAAAUGCUUUGAGCCUUUAAAAAAAAAAGUAUGCAGUGGUUUUCCUGUUUUACUUUUUCUCACAGCUGCACCUGGAUGACUGUUUGUAGUCUACUAAAGAGAAACUUUUGUAAAUCAAAACAAGACGUGGAAUGCUCCUAGAGCAGAUGGAAGUACCACAAUACUAUUUAAUCAUUUUGGACACUGCAAAUGUUGUUCCUGUUGAACUCCACGUGGUUGCUGAUUGCCCAGCCCUCUAAUUUGGCAAGGUCUCUCUCCAAAGCCUCAAAGGAAUUAACAGCUCCUCCCAGUGUAGUGUUGGCUGCAAACUUACUUAGUGCAUCUUCAAGUCUUGUAUCCAAGUCAUUGAUGAAAGCAAAGUACCAUUUCUAUAUUCCAGAAGGGCAGGAAGGAGGACCUUGGGAAAUACAGACCAUAGUGGAAGGACUAAUCGUGGAAAUAGCAUAAAUUCACAAGUGGAAAAUAAGGCUUGACUAACCCAAUAACCUUCCAUGCUGAAAUGACUGGCUUGCUAAACAAUGGGUGGGUAGUGGAUAUUGUCUGUAUGGAGUUCAGUAAGGGUUUUGAUGCUGUCUCCUAUUAGACCUUCAUGGAAAAAGAACCUGUUGGAGUAUGGGCUGGAUGAGAAGACUGGGUGGUAGAGUGAGAACUGGCUGAGCCCCUGUAUGGUUGUAAUGAGUCCAACAAAGUCCACUUGGAGGCCAGUGUACCCCAGGGGUCAGUACUGUUUCAGUGCUGUACAACAUUAUUAAUAAAUGUCAGGAAGAAAAAAUUCAGUUGGAAGGGACCUACAAAGAUCAUCGUGCCUAACUGCCUCGCUGCUUUGGGACUAACCAGAAGUUAAAGCAUGUUAUUAAGAGUGUUACCCAAAUGUCUCUUGAACACAGUCGUGGAGCAUCAACCACCUUUAGGGAGACUGUUUCAGUGUUUGACCAUGCUCACAGUUAAAUUUUCCCUAAUAUCCAGUCUGAACCUCCCCUGAUGCAGUUUUGUGCUGUUACUACAUGUCUUGUCAUCAGUGACUAGGGAGAUGAGUCUGCGAUCUCCUUCUCUGCUUCCCCUCAUGAGGGAGAGAAACAGUGAGCAACUCUGCCUCCUUUUCUCCAACACAAAACAAGAUUGUUCUCAAUCUCUCCUUGUUGGAUGUGGCCUUUUUAUUACCUUUGUUGCCCUCCUCUGCACGCAUUCAAGUAUCUUAAACAUCCUUUUUAUUUUGUGGGACUGCACACAAUAUUCAAAGUGAGGCUGCACCAGCAGUAAAUAUGGAGGGAAUUACCUCUUUUUGAGCAGCUGGCUGUGCUGCGUUUAAUGAAUUCUAAAGCGCAGCUUUCAUCGUUUGCUGCUAGGGUGUGCUGCUAUCUCAUGCUGAGACUGCUGUAACCAGGUCCCUCUCUUCCUGAGCCCUCCUUUCACAUGUGUUCACCAUUACUCUGUUCCAGGUGCAGAACUCAGCACCUGUGUUGAAUUUCAUUUUGAUACUUGCCCAAUGUUCCAGACUAUCUAAAUUCUUCUGUGAGGUCUCUGUUCCCUCCAGGGACUUAGCAGCACCUCCUUGUUUAGUGUCAUCAGCAAGUGCACUAAGGAUGUGUUCAACUGCUAUAAGUUCAUUGAUAAAAAUCUUGAACAAAACCAGCUCUAGAGCUGAGCCCAGGGGAAUGUCACUAAUGACUGGCCAGCAGCCAGGUGAUGGGGCACAGAGUGCCCUCAGCAAAUCUGCUGAUGACACAAAAUGGGAGAAGUGACUGAAGCACCAGAGGGGUUGCACUACCAUUCAGAAGGAAUUUAACAGACUGGAGAAAUAGGCUGACAGGAACUUCAUAGGUGAUCUGUGAAUGUGCUUGGGGCCAAGUUGAACACGAGCCAGUAAUUUGUCUUUGCUACGGUGGGCCAGUGGUGUCCUGGGCUGCAUUAGAAGUGUUGGCAGCAGUGUGAGGGAGGUGAUCCACUUGGCAGAUAGGAAGCUUGGUCUGAACAUCAGGAAAUACUUUUUUACUAUGAGGGAUGACUGAGCAUUGCUUCUCUGCAGUUGCCCAGAGAGGCUGGGAUCUCCAACCUUGGAGAAAGUCAAAUGAUAUCUGGACGUGGUCCUGGGCAAUCUGCUCAGGUUGUCCCUGCUUAAACAGGGAGGUUGCACCAGAUGAACCCAGAAGUCCCUUCUCAUCUCCACCAUUCUGAGUCUGAAGCUAGGACCGUUCCUCAUUUGGCUAAUUUGGCCAUUUGGGUGAAUGGAAUAAUGCUGGAAAUACCUGUUGCUCAAACCGUAACCUGUUGCACUUAAGCCAUAGCACAACUCUUUAAGUAAUUUGUAGCAAAACCUUUAAAAAUAUGUAAUAACAUAAAGAAAAUUAGCAUUUGUUUGUAAAGAACUUGUAACUGUAUGUAUUUUAAUAGCUGGCUCUAAAUUUAGAAGUAAUGUCAAGGUCCAGGUGCUUGCAAACAGCUACCUUUUUGUAACCUGGUAGAGACAAAGGGUUCUUGUUGUGGAUUAAAUUAAUUCAGUCAUGCUUUCAUUACGUAUGCAUUCUUCUUAACUUGUUAAACUGUCUUGCUUAAAAGAAAUGUUAACUUAGUUAGGAAGCAGGUUUUCCUUCUUGCCAGUAAACUGAGGUGCCUUUAAUGAAGUAAAAGUUAAAGUACAGUGUAUCCUGCCAGAAGGUUUUUCUGGCCAGUAGAAGUUAACUUAUUAAGAAAUGCCAAUGACAGGAUCUCCUUUCUCUAACUUACUCUUGCAUAAGGAUAGCGUAAAAAUCAGUGAAUAAAGAAUGAUUGUCAAUUAAUAAGUAAGAAUUUCAGAGUUAAGCUGACUGGAUAAAGCCAGUCUUGCUUUAUUUCUCCAUACUGUUUCUAAUCUAUGCUAUUCUAAUAAUAUUAAUAAAUAUUAAUAAAUAUUAAUAAAAAUAUAAUUCUAAUAAUGUGUGUGAUUUUCCAGGUCAGUGUCAAGUAGAAUGUCUGGUCUCACUCUGUACUUAGCUUUAAGAUACAGCCAUUUAACUUUCAGGUGUUAAAUAAUGUUUGAGUUAAAUGCAGACAAAUAUACUAACUUAUAAAAUGCUCUAUUCAAGCAAAUGUUUGGAUGUUGGGUUUUUUUGUUUUUUGUUUGUUUGUUUUGUUUGUUUGUUUUGUAUUGGUAUAAUAGAUACAGAGUAUUUUAAUGCUUCUACAGAGUUUAAUACGCAGCCAAAAGUAAAUGUAUUUGGAAACAGAAUACAAUUUUGAUCACGUAGCAGCCAAUCCUCAGAACUCUGUUUUUUCUCUCAUUUAAUUUAUACUCAUUGGCAUGCCAAUCAAACAGUUUUUUUUUCAGAAGUAAUGUCAAUGUCACUAGGAAAAAAAAAAAAGGCACUGUUGUAAAUUCUGUAUCUUUCCCCUUUAUUUACUUAUCUGCUAUAAAUGUCAACCAUAGGAGAGAUUUAAAAUUUAAUUGUGUGGGCAGCUACAGAGGUAUGAUAGUGUUGCUAUUUAUAUUUGCUUUGUCCAAAUUUCAGCAGCUGAGUUGUUCUGCUUGAUCAAUAAUAAAUCAAUAGUCAGUUAAUGAUGGAAUAUAUUUAUGCUUUUCUGUGUUUUUCAUCUCUGUAAGGGCCAAAAUAUUGUAUUAAUCUGUUUUGCUGGCAGCAAACUGAAGAUCGAUUGUUUGCUUGUACUGUACCAUUCAGUGUAUUUACUGUAAGGUGGUUUAGACUUUGCAAACCUGGGCCAAUUUCCUGAUAUAUAUAUUUAUGUGUGUGUGUGUAAUGUGUGUAUAUAUAUAUAUAUAUAUAUAUAUAUGUAUGUGUGUUUUUUUUUAAUGUCACUUCUGGUAUAUCCCACUCCUGGCUAUGGUGACAGUAACAGCACAUCCAAGGGCUUUGUUGGACCAUUCCUGUGGCCUCUCCUCUCUAUGAGAGAAGCAGCUGCAGGCUUUGCUGGCUUAUGUGUGUCUAAAUUUGUCUUGGCCAGAUGAAGAGCUCAAGACCUUGCAGGGGUGGGAGGGCUCCUUCCUUCUUCCUCCGUUCCCUCCUUGCCUCCCACCGGAGCAUGGCGACAGCUUUGGGCUUUGAGCCAGCCGGACACAGGAGGAGGUGUUGGGCUGUUUGGGCAGCAUUUGCUCCUCAAACAGCUGUUCCCUAGCUCCUCCAAGGAAAAGGUGGCAGGCCAUAUGGAGGCAUCCUGUGGUCCAGAUUCAGCCGAUGGGUGCCAGUUGGACCGUGCUGGCCUAGAUGAAAAUGCAGGCACAUCCUACGUGGUGUCUGUUAUUUUUUAACAGCCAGAAUGUUUUAAAAUUGGAUGGGGACAAGGCAGGAUAAAAUAUAUCUUUCGGUUUGGAUGUGGAUCUCAUCUUUCUUUGGACAUUUGUGGUUAAGAUCAAAUCAGUAGGUUUUAAUUUAUUUUAUAUUCUGAAUGGUUUGCAUUCAUUUGUGAUCUAUAUCAUUUACUAGCCUAAAUGCCCUCUUUCCUCUAGAGAAACAGAGAUGUACUUCAAAGUUUAUAUGCCAGCACUAAGCAAAAUGCGUUUCUGCACAGUUUAAACCACAUUUGGGAGGAAUAAUACGUUUUCUUGUUAGUCUUGUGGUCUUUAAAGGCUUUUUUUAUUUUUUGAAGAUAGGGUUCUCAACCACCCUCCUGGUUGAGAAUGCAGAUAAGCAACUGUUUUUACAGCCAAUAGCAUGUAGAGCCUUUUUUGUUUUUCUGUUUGCUUUUCCAUUAUUUGCUUUUAUUCCUAUUUUUUAACCAAGUUGCACUUUCUGGGGCAGUUGAGUUUAUCCCCAGAGAUGCUGCCUGUGUCUUUUGUGGAAGUGAGUGCCUCAGUAGACACCGAAAGAUCAUCAUGCACUUGCAAGUAUACUUUCUCAUAUAAAGUUUGUACUUAAUGUGCAGAUUUAAUAUUUUUCCUGAUAUAACAGCAGUUACAAAUGUUCCAUAAAUUUAAAAUAUGAUAACAAGCUGAGGUUUCUUAGAAUGGAAUACUCAAAGGAUGUAUUCUUUAAGCACUACAAAAUUAUACAGGGGACUUAUCUUUGUUAAAAUUAGUAAUUUAACUAAAUUACAAAGUGGAUUAUCCUCUUCAGUCAGACUCAGUGCUAAUACUCCACACAGUAGGAGAUUGAUAUGUUGCUAAGUAAACCAAAGUUUAUUUUCUUGUACUAUCGCUUGAAUGUAACUUGAAGAGGAAGUGAUAAGUUUUUAGUUUUGUAUGUCUGCUAUAGUCCCAGUACAACUGGCUCCAGGACUUAGCCUCUCCAAUAUGCGGUGUCCCUUGUGCAGUACAGUAGCUUAGUUAUCAUGGUCUGAACUGCCACAAAAGUGGUCACUAGUAGGAUUUACCUGGGAACUUGAGUAGCUGAUUCACAGGUGCCAGAGCACUGUCCAUACUGUGUAAUGUUAAUGCUUGUUAGAAGAGGAGCGGUGGUGAGUAGGAAGUAUUGUCCCUGACUUCCUGAAGCAGUUCACUUCAGGCUUUCCAUCAAAGCAUCUUAUUUGUGGUCUGUGAUUCAGUGAAUCAGUAAUGGAGGUUUGUGAUGAAUUUGAGCAUGAAGCAUCAUUAUCUUGCACUAGAUAAAAUGAACAAGGUAAACUUUGAACUUCAGGCGGAGUCUAAAGAGUAAAUAAGUCCCCAUAUGCAGACGUAAUAAAGUUUCCUCACAAAGGUCUGUAGCUGUCUUACUGUAACUGCAUGAAGAACUACAGUCAGACUCUGUCAAUCUCAGGCUCAGCACGAACACAAGACAUGUUUCGUGAGGCCAUUUACCAAAGGAGGUAUAGGCUUAGUGCAUCUGAGGGGUGACUGGGGGGCUGCCUCAUUGUGAAACAAGCCCAUUCUCACCCUGUUUGCUCUCCUCUUCAUUCCUUCAGCCCCUGGGGAUCUGCAUUUAGCUCUGUGAGGGGACAGGAAAAGACAGGAAAAGGUAGAGGAAACUUGGUCACUAUUUUGUGUCAUAACUAAUUGGCUCUUAUUUGGGAAAAGAUAAAGAAAUAUCCUGUAUUUCGUGAAGUGGAUGUUAAAAAGUCAGUCACUGUCUUGCCUCCAUUUAAUAAAGUACCUGCAGGUUUGUAAGCAGGAUACUGGUUUGCUGUUGUUUGAAAAUGUUUACUGUGUCUUCUGUCAAACAGUAGUGUCCAUUUUGCAUAUGAGAUGGGUUGUUGGUCCUUCAGGCACUCUAGUUAGUAGCUGAUGUCAUGGUUGAGCUGUCUGUUAUGCCGCCGCUUUCUCAUCAACUAAGCACAAUUUUUUUUUCAGGUAGAAGGUACAAAAAAAUAGAUGCUUCAGUUAAAUUCCAUUGCACCAGGAGGAGUCAUUCUAGUCUGCUUCCGCUACACGAAUCCCAUAAUAGUGUGGAACAGUGCUUUCUUGUGUAUAUAUUGGCAGAAAGUAAAUAAAAAUUGCUGACAUAAAGAAUAAGCAAGACUGUUACUUAGAUUUAGUAAGUUUCAGUCCUGCGAUACAUCUUUAAUUUUAGGAUUAGAUUUUGUGGAGUAAGAUUGUCUUUCUUCCAUAAGAAAAAUCAUGCAACAGUGUACAUUUGUAGAUCUAAUUCCUAAUGCUUAAUGAAUCAGGCUGUUUGAAAAUUCCAAAGCAUGCCUCUGUAGUUAUAAAAUGUUAUUACAAAGUAAAAUAAUCUUUAGCUUUUUCUCCUAUCCUGUAUGGUGAACUGGCUUUCCCUUGUUAGGUUAGGCAACAUACUUCCAAUGGAAAAAAAGAACUCUUGUUUCCCUGUAGAUCACUAGGAUCCUCCGUUCUGAAUUCUUUAUUUUACUUAGCUUUAGGGCAGUUAAAUCCUCAGCUGCUCCACAGAGAGGAGUUUCUCUUCAAGGCUGCUGCUUCAAAGGAUUUCCAGAACUAGGAAAGGGACAGUAACCAGCAAAUGCUGACAGAUCUUCCUGCUUCUGGCCCUGAAAGUGUGUGUGUGGUGUGUGUUUGUGUUUUCAUACACCUACACAUUGGCCCGAAACCAUCAAGUAGCAUCCAAGGCUCAUAACAAAAUCUCCCCGUGCUAAUGAGUACACUGGAAAGAGGGGAGAAUCUGUAAAGAAGAGGAGGAAAUAAAUUGUUUGGUCAAAAGGAACAAACCCUUGGGCUUUUUGUUCAAAGGAAUUACAGUUAACAGGGUGGAAGCUUAAACUGUUUUUGGCUUUAACUUGGUUUUGAGUACUCUUAGUGUUUUAGUUCGGGGUUGCUGGGGUGGGGAGUGAUAUCUUCAGUAUAAUCUCAGCACUUGAUAUGAUGCUUUCUCAACAUAGAAAUGGAGCUGUUUCUACUUUAGCAGUGCACAAGAGGUUCUUGAGAAUAUUGAAAUCUGAUUUAGUAAUAUUGAUACACAGAUUGUCUGUUACUUUUCCUUGGACUUGUGUGUACUCGAAACGUCCUUCACAGAAGUUCAACCACCUAUGUAUUUAUAAACACAUGAAACUUAUUCAUGGGUCUGUCACUACUUGAAGGAUGUGUUCAGUGUUGAGUUAAAAUGCAGAAAAGUGAUUUAAACAAGGACUGUUUUCUAGUUAGGUAUUGCAGUAGAGUAGUAGAUUACUCAGGUGGGCGGCUUAUCUCAACUUAGAGGUGGUGUCUUCCAAAAAAAUGAAAGAAAAAAAAAGAACAAA